This 242-nucleotide ribosomal RNA is filed under the name uncultured bacterium. RNAcentral's name for it is "partial 16S ribosomal RNA". It matches the Rfam family "Bacterial small subunit ribosomal RNA", at positions 1250 to 1500 of the family's 1533-position model. The record is from RNAcentral.
CUACCGGGCGACCGGAUGCGGAUCUCGAAAGCCUGUCCCAGUUCGGACUGGAGUCUGCAACCCGACUCCACGAAGUUGGAUUCGCUAGUAAUCGCGCAUCAGCCAUGGCGCGGUGAAUACGUUCCCGGGCCUUGUACACACCGCCCGUCAAGCCAUGGGAGCCGGGGGCGCCUGAAGUCCGGGACCGCGAGGACCGGCCUAGGGCGAAACUGGUAACUGGGGCUAAGUCGUAACAAGGUAAC